This 85-nucleotide transfer RNA is filed under the name Candidatus Tayloriibacteriota bacterium. Its description in RNAcentral is "tRNA-Leu". It matches the Rfam family "tRNA". From Rfam's summary of the family: Transfer RNA (tRNA) molecules are approximately 80 nucleotides in length. Their secondary structure includes four short double-helical elements and three loops (D, anti-codon, and T loops). Lineage: Bacteria; Candidatus Tayloriibacteriota. The record is from RNAcentral.
GCCGGAGUGGCGGAAUUGGUAUACGCACACGACUCAAAAUCGUGCGGGGAAACCCAUGAGAGUUCAAGUCUCUCCUCCGGCACAA